Long non-coding RNA from Symphalangus syndactylus (siamang), 1047 nucleotides. RefSeq lists it as uncharacterized. Lineage: Eukaryota; Metazoa; Chordata; Mammalia; Primates; Hylobatidae. The record is from RefSeq and is a predicted model, not a curated record.
UCCUAAUACCAUCCCUAAUGUUUUUGGCUCUAUCAAGGUGGGGAGGUGGGGAAGAGAACACUAGUGGAAUACUCUGUGCACAAAUAGGGAAGUGGACUCAAAAACACAAUGUUCCUCUUCCCCCAGCCUCCACCCAGCUCUGGCUGCGGAAGGCCGCACUCCGCUUGUACCGCGCCUCAUGCACAGUCCAGACUUAUAUAGCAGCCGGAAACCCCAAGGGCAGGAUGAUUCCGAGACGCACCAAAUCUAUAUGUUGAUAUGUUGUACCAAAUUUAUUUCUCCAGCCUAAAUUUCCCUCUCUGGCACUUAGAGCUAAGUGUCAACUUAACAUCUUUACCUGGGUAUCUAACAUGCAUCUUAAAUGUACUAUAAAUGUAAUAGAUGACUAAAUAGUGAUCCUCAGUGAACCAGCCCCACUCCAUGCUCCUUUGCAAUAUGAGUUUGCUGUUCCUCCCUUUUGAGAGGUAUUGCUUUCUCUCCAACUGCUGCUUGAAUCUGGGUUUGCCAGUGACUUGUUUUGCCCAAUAGAACAAAGAACAUGUGCUGUGUACAUUCCAGCACCUAGGCCUUAAAGGGUCUUGUAGUUUCCACUCCUUUACUCUCUUAAAAUUCUGGUGCUUGUAAGAAGCCUGGGCGAGCAUCCUUGCUAUGAGACCAUGAAACCACAUGGAUCUGUCCCAGCAUCCAAGCCUCCAGUCAGACACAGCUGGAGCAGCACACAAGCAAGACCAGAGACCAGCCGCUCAGCCAGCCCCCAGAACUUUGGCUUCAGGUCACAUGUUGCUCUGGAGAACCGAGAAGGGUGAGCAGACACCAGUCAUGACCCCAAACAGCAAGAGGACAGAAAGAUGGGGUUUCGCCAUGUUGGUCAGGCUGGUCUCCAACUCAUGGCCUCAGGUCAUCCACGCACCUCCGCCUCCCAAAGUCCUGGGAUUACAGGCAUGAGCCACCGCGCCCAGCCAGGCUUGCUUCUCUGAGCCAUACCUUUCUGUUGGAACAAGCAUCCUUUCCAUUAAAAGCAAUAAAUCUCCUCUUAUUUAAGUGGCA